AUUGAACGCUGGCGGCAGGCCUAACACAUGCAAGUCGAGCGGAAACGAUCCUAGCUUGCUAGGAGGCGUCGAGCGGCGGACGGGUGAGUAACGCGUGAGAAUCUACCCAUGAGUGGGGGACAACCCGGGGAAGCUCGGGCUAAUACCGCAUACGCCCUACGGGGUAAAGCAGGGGACCUUCGGGCCUUGCGCUGAUGGAUGAGCUCGCGUCGGAUUAGCUUGUUGGUGAGGUAAAGGCUCACCGAGGCGACGAUCCGUAGCUGGUCUGAGAGGAUGAUCAGCCACACCGGGACUGAGACACGGCCCGGACUCCUACGGGAGGCAGCAGUGGGGAAUCUUGGACAAUGGGGGCAACCCUGAUCCAGCCAUGCCGCGUGUGUGAAGAAGGCCUUCGGGUUGUAAAGCACUUUCAGCAGGGAGGAAGGCUUACCCCUAAUACGGGUGAGUACUUGACGUUACCUGCAGAAGAAGCACCGGCUAAUUUCGUG
Molecule: ribosomal RNA, 488 nt
Filed under: uncultured bacterium
Lineage: Bacteria
Description: bacterial SSU rRNA
Rfam family: Bacterial small subunit ribosomal RNA
Source: RNAcentral